RNAcentral lists this transfer RNA (76 nucleotides) under Xanthomonas campestris. RNAcentral describes it as "tRNA-Ala". It matches the Rfam family "tRNA". From Rfam's summary of the family: Transfer RNA (tRNA) molecules are approximately 80 nucleotides in length. Their secondary structure includes four short double-helical elements and three loops (D, anti-codon, and T loops). Further hydrogen bonds mediate the characteristic L-shaped molecular structure. tRNAs have two regions of fundamental functional importance: the anti-codon, which is responsible for specific mRNA codon recognition, and the 3' end, to which the tRNAs corresponding amino acid is attached (by aminoacyl-tRNA synthetases). tRNAs cope with the degeneracy of the genetic code in two manners: having more than one tRNA (with a specific anti-codon) for a particular amino acid; and 'wobble' base-pairing, i.e. permitting non-standard base-pairing at the 3rd anti-codon position. Lineage: Bacteria; Pseudomonadati; Pseudomonadota; Gammaproteobacteria; Lysobacterales; Lysobacteraceae. RNAcentral also lists the same sequence under 261 other names. The record is from RNAcentral.
GGGGCGGUAGCUCAGCUGGGAGAGCGUCGCGUUCGCAUCGCGAAGGUCGAGGGUUCGAUCCCCUUCCGCUCCACCA